AUAAGCGGAGGAAAAGAAACUAACGAGGAUUCCCCUAGUAACGGCGAGUGAAGCGGGAAGAGCUCAAAUUUGAAAUCUGGCGGUCUGUGGCCGUCCGAGUUGUAGUCUGGAGAAGCGUUUUCCGUGCCGGACCGUGUACAAGUCCCUUGGAACAGGGCGUCGCAGAGGGUGAGAAUCCCGUCUUUGACACGGACUGCCGGUGCUUUGUGAUGCGCUCUCGAAGAGUCGAGUUGUUUGGGAAUGCAGCUCAAAGCGGGUGGUAAAUUCCAUCUAAAGCUAAAUAUUGGCAAAAGACCGAUAGCGAACAAGUACCGUGAGGGAAAGAUGAAAAGCACUUUGGAAAGAGAGUUAAACAGUACGUGAAAUUGUUGAAAGGGAAACGCUUGAAGUCAGUCGCGUCUCCCGGGACUCAGCCUUGCUUUUUGCUCGGCGCAUUUCCCGGGGUUGACGGGCCAGCAUCGAUUUUGACCGUCGGAGAAAGGCUUUGGGAACGUGGCACCUCAGGGUGUGUUUAUAGCCCUCGGUCGUAUGCGACGGUCGGGAUCGAGGAUCGCAGCGUGCCUUUUUGGCCGGGGUUCGCCCACGUAACGCGCUUAGGAUGCUGGCGUAAUGGCUUUAAGCGACCCGUCUUGAAACACGGACCAAGGAGUCUAACAUGCCUGCGAGUGUUUGGGUGCAAAACCCGGACGCGGAAUGAAAGUGAAAGGUUGGGACCUCUGUCGUGGAGGGCACCGACGCCCGGACCAGACCUUCUGUGACGGUUCCGAGGUAGAGCAUGUAUGUUGGGACCCGAAAGAUGGUGAACUAUGCCUGAGUAGGGUGAAGCCAGAGGAAACUCUGGUGGAGGCUCGUAGCGAUUCUGACGUGCAAAUCGAUCGUCGAACUUGGGUAUAGGGGCGAAAGACUAAUCGAACCAUCUAGUAGCUGG
This 928-nucleotide ribosomal RNA is filed under the name Ramaria sp. RNAcentral describes it as "eukaryotic LSU rRNA". It matches the Rfam family "Eukaryotic large subunit ribosomal RNA", at positions 46 to 954 of the family's 3401-position model. The record is from RNAcentral. Lineage: Eukaryota; Fungi; Basidiomycota; Agaricomycetes; Gomphales; Gomphaceae.